Molecule: ribosomal RNA, 480 nt
Filed under: uncultured Syntrophus sp.
Lineage: Bacteria; Pseudomonadati; Thermodesulfobacteriota; Syntrophia; Syntrophales; Syntrophaceae
Description: bacterial SSU rRNA
Rfam family: Bacterial small subunit ribosomal RNA
Source: RNAcentral
CUUAAAGGAAUUGACGGGGCCGCACAAGCGGUGGAGCAUGUGGUUUAAUUCGACGCAACGCGCAGAACCUUACCUGGGUUUGACAUCUCGGGAAUCUUGUGGAAACACGAGAGUGCCCUUCGGGGAGCCCGAAGACAGGUGCUGCACGGCUGUCGUCAGCUCGUGUCGUGAGAUGUCGGGUUAAGUCCCGCAACGAGCGCAACCCUUGUCUUUAAUUGCCAUCAUUGAGUUGGGCACUUUAAAGAGACUGCCGGUGUUAAACCGGAGGAAGGUGGGAUGACGUCAAGUCCUCAUGGCCUUUAUGCCCAGAGCUACACACGUGCUACAAUGGGUGGUACAAAGAGCAGCCAGCUCGCGAGGGGGAGCCAAUCCCAUAAAGCCAUUCGUAGUCCGGAUCGCAGUCUGCAACUCGACUGCGUGAAGUCGGAAUCGCUAGUAAUCGUGGAUCAGAAUGUCACGGUGAAUACGUUCCCGGGUCUU